UAGUGCAUGGAUACCGCUCCCACUUGUGUGAGCUAAAGUUUCAAAAAUUGUGCCGACGCUGAUUGCCUAACUGUAACGUAUUUUCGUGGAGAGAGUAGAUGUUUGCAUUUGAAAAUGGAAUGACGAAGGCUUACUACAGGGUGCGAGGCGCCCAAACUCAACACUUCUGUUUAUUGCCUUUAUUUAUUUAUUUAUCUAGUUUAAUUUUUUUUAGUAAAUUAGAAGCGUACAACAUUUUCAUAAAGCCUAAUCAGUCGAGACCAUCCAUGCACAAAACAAAAAUGAGUUAAAAACAUAUUAACGGUUAUUUUUUGUGGUUACAUAAACGUUGCUGACGCUCCAACAAAACUUUGUGCGCAUUGCUGAAAGAAUUCUCACUUCAGUUAAUAUAAUUUAACACAAUAAAAACAAAAACAAUUAUGGACAACUUUCGAGCGUGUGUAAAUUGGACUACCCUACUAGAUGGAAAUGUGAAUCACAAUAACUAAACUUAGUAGCACAUAAGUAUGUGAAGCGAGUGAAAUUAUACGCCAUUUCAUGUAUAUAUAACCAGUAAUUAACCAAAGCUUACUACUUGUUGCAAAAUUUUCAAAAUAUUACAAAAAUAUGCUAGAAAAGUGUUGAAAAAUUUUCAUGCUUUCCUGAAGCCUAGAAUUGAAGAAUGUGAGAAUUAUAAUCAUACCUACAUACAUAGAUGUAUAUGAAAUAUGCUAUAAAUUAAUUGUCAUUAUCAAAAUAAAUUGUUGUGUGUGUAUUAAUUAAAGUUUAUUAUGCUCUACUCAGUCCUUAAGUCAUCAUCUAGUAUGAAUAUUCGAAGACCUCAAAACAUGUUGCUGUUGUUUGGGAUUACAAAACAAAAAAAAAACAUAAUGA
Molecule: long non-coding RNA, 873 nt
Organism: Bactrocera tryoni
Lineage: Eukaryota; Metazoa; Arthropoda; Insecta; Diptera; Tephritidae
Exons: 2
Source: RefSeq, a predicted model, not a curated record